Molecule: non-coding RNA, 45 nt
Organism: Schistosoma rodhaini
Lineage: Eukaryota; Metazoa; Platyhelminthes; Trematoda; Strigeidida; Schistosomatidae
Source: Rfam
AUCCAGUCGCCGAAUCCCAGAUAGGACGAAACGUGCGUCCUGGAU